AGACGAUCUUCUCAUUCCAAGCUACUCUUAUCUGAAUGAAACGUUAUACGAUGUCGCUUGUGUGGAGAGAAUAUUAGGAUAUUUUUUAACCGGAUUGGAAGAGAGGUCUACCGCUAGAAUUCAAGGCGAAGAAGAAAACAUCAGUGUCAGAUCCACGGCGCUAAUGUUAGUCGGCAAGUUAAUUGACGGUUACUUAUCAGAAAUAGCCUCUGAUAAUAAUUUACUACCGGAAAAAUUCUGUGAAUUAGCUGUUGCAUUGCCGGACCAAGCAAGACUCUUU
Molecule: unclassified non-coding RNA, 280 nt
Filed under: Hevea brasiliensis (rubber tree)
Lineage: Eukaryota; Viridiplantae; Streptophyta; Magnoliopsida; Malpighiales; Euphorbiaceae
Source: RNAcentral